CUAAUGGCUACCCAUUUCACUCUGGGCAGGAGCACGGCAUUUUGUUUCUUUUAAUAAUCCAGAGUGACAAUAGGUUGGCAAAGUGGUUACGUUGGAUGCAUAUUGAAAAGAUUAUUUCAUAUUUUGAGACAGCAUGAAGGCAUUACAGCUUUUUAGUGGUGUGCCAAUUUCUCGGUGGAAAGUGGAAUUCUCUUCUCAGCCCAGUCCUCUCCAAGCCAUCUUGAGGGGAGACAAAGAACCCCAUUAUCCUGAAAUGUGCCUGUUUUGCAUCUGAGGGCCAUAUGCACAGGUAAACAACCCCAUAAAAAGUGAUGGCUUGAGCCUCAUCUUCCCCUAUAAGCGUUAGUCUGGAAGGUGAGAAGAAGCUCACUUAUUACGGUGAGGCAGAGUGAAGGAGAGAGGAGGAAAAACACAUUUAUUUGUGUGAAAGAGAAAAUGAAACAGGAAGGUUGUGAAAGCCUUUCCCAGCUAGGGGAAGCCAACAGGUUCUGAUAAGUGUGUUCUCUUCACCCAGAAGAACCGGAGGAACACCUCUCACAGACUGAGCCUAGAGUGCUGUCAUGAAACAAAAGAAACCUCUGGGAAGGGAGAAAGGGAUCAGGAGCCUGAAUGGGAUGACUUUCUGGUGGCAUCAUCUGGCAGAUAGAGUUGUCUGGCCCAGCCAUCCUCUGGUUCCUGUUCAACUGCCUGCCACAUCCAGCCCCUACACUUGGCUCUGCCAUCCUCCUCCU
This is a long non-coding RNA of Homo sapiens (human), 731 nucleotides long. The record is from Ensembl. Lineage: Eukaryota; Metazoa; Chordata; Mammalia; Primates; Hominidae.